This 957-nucleotide long non-coding RNA is filed under the name Cicer arietinum (chickpea). Its description in RNAcentral is "long non-coding RNA (CARI_LNC003143)". Lineage: Eukaryota; Viridiplantae; Streptophyta; Magnoliopsida; Fabales; Fabaceae. The record is from RNAcentral.
UAAAAUUCAACAUUUAUAACUUAUAAUUUAAAAUAUUAAUUAAAACUAAUAUUUUGUUAGCUUAUAUUUAUCAAUUAAUUCAAUUGCUAAUUUUAUAACGCAUUUCAAAUUUAAUUUAUUUGGUUAUAUGGUGUCAACUAACUUAUAUGUGUAUCCAAUAAUUGCUCGUGCAAUGUUGUGCAUGUGAAAUAAGUCUCCCCCUCAUUAGGGUUUCCUACUAACCUUGUUUAGGAUUGUUCUCUCCCUUGUGAAUGUCUUCUUCUUCCCCCAAUUUUUGGGGCUUCUUUUCUCCCUUCAUUUCUUUUCCGCUCCCUAUUGUGCUAGCUAUAGAGCAACCAAAUCAUUGAUCGUGUUUUCAGCCACAUAGCUUCCCUUUCACGAUCCCCUUUAUUACAAAAUGUCUUCACCUAAUCCACUACCUCAAACUCUCACCCCAUUGUUGCGGCCCUACUUGCGGACACAGAUCAAAUUGACCACUCUAAAGUUAUCAUGGAAACUUGGCAUCUUGGUCUUCAUCGUUGCUUGGUUUAGGACCCAAUGUUUUUAUAGUGUUCUUAUGCUUAUCUUGUUCUAUUUCUCUAUUUGUGUUUAUUUUUUAUUUUAGUUUGUUUCACGUUAUGUUUGUUGAAAGUCUCAAAAGUAGGUUUUUUAAAUUGUAUUUUGAUUAAGGUGCUUAUGGUGACCACCACCAAAUGACAUAUGAACAUGUUAUUUAAUUGGUUAUUUUCCUAUACCACCUAUUAUUAAUAUGAAUCUACAUAAGCUAAAUAAAUGAUAUGUAACUUGAUGAGAUAAUAGACCAUGAAUCUCUAAUUCUCCUCGAUAAUACUCGAUAAUUACUUGUAUUGAUAUGGAUAACGUAUACUUAAUUUGCUUAAUUACUUAUAUUGAUCUCGAAAUGUGAUGAGAAACACUUCUCAACACAUGUUCAAUUUAAUUGUAUUAUGGUUGUUCUAG